GUUGAAUCACCAAAGAACAAUAGGUCAUUGCCCAGAAUCUGGUCAAGAGAGAUAUUAGGAGCCACAAUGUAAAUCGAACAUUUGCAUAGACGGCACUAGUUAACAAGGCUACGCGCUUUUAUUGCACAGUUCCUUUAGAACAAACUCAGACAAUGAAACAAGAUCUUGCAAAUAGGUUGAAUCACCAAAGAACAAUAGGUCAUUGCCCAGAAUCUGGUCAAGAGAGAUAUUAGGAGCCACAAUGUAAAUUGAACAUUUGCAUAGACGGCACUAGUUAACAAGGCUACGUGCUUUUAUACACAUGCACCUCAAAGUGUGAAGCAACUUCGUAACCAUCAUUCCUUGGACAACAAUUUACUUCCUUCAUGAUCAAUACAAAUAAUAGCGAACAAUAAUAACCAUGAAUGCGUGCUUGCAUGCAGGGGCCCAUGUGCAUGUGUUUCAUGAAUUAGAUGGAUAUCAUGGAACAUAGUCCAUUGCCUGGAAAUAUUCACUUAAAGAAAGUGAAUAAAAACAUCUGUUAACCAGAUGUGACAACAUAAGCAGGAAAAGUGAAUUUUGACCUUUCACCCAGAGUGUGAAACCAUCAAAAGUUUUCUCCAAUUUCAGGCACUGCAAAAAUUUGAUCUUCCACAAUGGAAAAUUUCAGUGUUACAUCCCUAUUCAAAAAUGAUUUUCCAAACUUGGAAGUUCUGUUUUAUUUUCAUCAGCUCUGGAAUUGAUAUCAAAUUUAACAC
RNAcentral lists this long non-coding RNA (737 nucleotides) under Vitis vinifera (wine grape). RNAcentral describes it as "long non-coding RNA (VVIN_LNC006491)". The record is from RNAcentral. Lineage: Eukaryota; Viridiplantae; Streptophyta; Magnoliopsida; Vitales; Vitaceae.